GGGAGGAGGACCCGGGGACAGAAUGCAGUUGAUUUCAGCCAACACCUCUCAAACCUCACUUUUCCACUGCCAACAAAUAUUGUUGAACGCUAGAUGAAGGAUCUCGUCACCCGCUGGGAAUGACAAGAUUUACACAUCCCAAGCAGAGGACCACAUAGAAAUGGAGAGGCAGACUGGAAGACGCCUCUAAACAUCCCCUUGAUGCUGACUGAAUCACCCACAUGAGCGGAUACAGGAGCGCUCAAGCUACCACUGCCUGCCACCCACCUUCCUAGCAGGUGUGCUUGUGCUGUUACUUUGCUACUUGAUAAAGCAUUGUUCUAUCAGGAUGACCGGGAAGUAGAAACACAAAGGGCCGGUUGCCACGAGCAGAAGGUGGGUCUCACUCAUGGAAUACAGGUAAGGCAACGUGGAAAUCCCUGACCCCCUUUGCUCUGGGAAGCUCUCAGGAAAAUCUUUGAAAUUGGUCCUGAGGUCCCCCUUGCCACCUCAGGGCAUGGUUUUUCCUGUUGCUGGGAAAGGAUGGAAUGAAGAGGCCCCGAGUGGCUUUUGAGUCAGGUACAACCGCCAUACGUGCCCUGGGAGAACCAGAUUCUACAGCUUUUAUGCAGCAUCGGAAGGUCUUUGGCUAAUUGUCUCUGUGUUUGAGGAGUACGCUUGCUUGUUCCUUUAAUGUGUGCUCCUAUAAAUAGAUUCUGCUGCCACCUGAACAUCUGUGUCCCAAAAAGGGCUUUUUUUAAGUUGUAAAUGGUUGUCACCAUCAUCCCUCAUUUCUGCCCCAAUUUAAAACAACGAAGGCACUCAGCUUUGCUCCUCCCCCCACCCCCCUGCUGCAGCACAUCCGCCG
This 847-nucleotide long non-coding RNA is filed under the name Equus asinus (donkey). Its description in RNAcentral is "lncRNA (ENSEASG00005027875.1)". Lineage: Eukaryota; Metazoa; Chordata; Mammalia; Perissodactyla; Equidae. The record is from RNAcentral.